Long non-coding RNA from Cherax quadricarinatus, 2330 nucleotides. RefSeq lists it as uncharacterized. The record is from RefSeq and is a predicted model, not a curated record. Lineage: Eukaryota; Metazoa; Arthropoda; Malacostraca; Decapoda; Parastacidae.
AUUGCGGCAAUAUGGCGGAGGUGUCCAGGAAGGCAGAGGCCGGUGGUGAGUCUCAGAUCACCUCCCAACACACUACUGUAAGCUUCAUCAACUUCACUGCUCUCUUCAGCUACUUCAACACACUCCAUCGUCAUCAUGCCUGAUCCCUGCUGUGACGGUGACUGUAAAUGCGGCAAGAGUGAGUGUUGCGCAGACGGCAAGAGUUGCACUGAUAGUGAUGCUUGUCAGUGUGCUGCCGACGACUCCAAGAAGGAACACUGUGGUGAUACGUGUGAUUGUAAGGAGAAAGGCGGCGCUUGCAAGUGCGACGGAAAGUGUUCCUGUUAAGGGGAAUUCUCCAACGGUACCAGCUGACUUUUGUCGAUUCUGCUUCUGUUAACUCGCCUUCACAACGGCGCCAUGCGACAGUUUCAAUCUGCCUCCUCUUGAUGGACCUCGUUGGUGUAACCUCUUUUGAUUCUGCCUCGUAAUUCUGUUGAUGGGGGGGGGGGGCCCUUUCCUCUACCUGUGUCAAUUGACCUGCUGGAGUCUGUUGUUGCUGCUGCUGCUGCUUCCUGCUGCUCGCGUACACACACACACACACACACACACACACACACACACACACACACACGCCUGGAGAUCAGUUAUCGAGUGAAUAUUAAUUUUUUUUUCUUAGUUGACGAACACUGGGGCCCUGAUGGUCCUAAGGUCACUUGUUUCAGCAAGUGGCUCGUGGCGCAGAGCUACAAAGCUCUACACUUAGCAGAAAAGUGCAUGGGUAGUCUCCUCACCUUGAAUAGAUAUAAUCCUAGGAGUUAUGGGCUAUUUAGGAUGAGAUGUCCAAAUUAAGAUUCGGUGUAAGGGUCCUCACACUCCAGGUCACACUAAGGCCCUAUACAACACUUCUUGUUUAUCAUUCAACUGCGUUGAAUGGUUAUACUGUCUUUGGCUAGUCGCAUAGGGAGCAGGUCUAAAUAUUUAAAAAAAAAUUGUCAACAGCCAUAGCCCAGUGGUGAGAGUCGCGCCUCUCAUCAUAGAUCCAGGGAUAGGAUUCCCAAACUAAUUUUUAAUUAUAUAUCUUUUAAAGAAUUAUAUGAUGAACGAAGUAUUCAAAACUAGAGAUCACGAGCAUAUAUCUGCUCCUGUAGCUACAAAUAUAUAAUCAUGCAUGCUCACUCACUCAAGUCCAGUGUCUUUGACAAGUGCUAACAACCGGCAAUCUUGUACAUUUAGAAAAUUGGAAAUAAAACCCACUAAAAGUAAGCAAAUAGAUACUGAUUAGUUAAGAAAAAACAACGUAAGGACAAAGUUUAAAUUUCGUAAAGUUGUAUAGAAUAAGUAGCCAUUUCUUAAAAAAAUAAAUGGCUGUGAUCUUAGUAGCUCAUCAGAUAAUUGAAAGGCAAUUACAACUAAUUACACACGAAGACGUAAUGGACAAAUUUCUGAACACUCUUUGGACAGUUUCGCUCUAGAGGUUUAUGAAACCUUGAUGAAGCUCUACAGAUAUGAAAAGAAGUCUUCACAAAAGCCUGUUCCGUAACCUUUGUGUUUAAAUUCGUGUCUUCAAACUUUUUAGUGUAAAUCUGCCAGGAAGUAGUUAACAGUGUAACAGGAAGUGGGAAGCACGCGUGGAGGAAACAAAUUAUGACUUGAGGAAGGACACCGCGACCACAGCUGUACUCUUGAGCGUUGUACGACUCGCAAGGGUUUUUUUUUUUUUUUUUUUUUUUUUUUUUUUUAGUAAGUCCUUAUUACUGUUGUACCUUCGUGUGUGUGCGCGCGCGCACUAAGCAGCAGUGAUCUUUUAUCACUUGAAAAUUAACAUUUUUCUUUGAUAGUGAUAUGGUUAAGCGCUUCUUGAUAAUUAUAAUCAAAUAGUGACAUUAGUUUUUUUGGUUGCAUAUGGUUUACGGUGUGAAGACUGAGGACAAGCUUUUAUUGUGAGCAUUUCGCUCUAGAGAUUUAUCAUGGCCAUAAAGUUCUACAUGACGAAACUUCCCAAUAAAAGGUUGCUCUGCAACUUGUCUUGGUCUGCACAUUUGGUGGCAAUACGCCGUUUCAUCUGUUUGACUUCGUUCGUUGAAACUGCUCGGUUAAGAUUUGCUAAAUUAGUAUGAAUAUAAGUAAAGUAAAAAUAUUCUAUUGUAAUUUUCCACGUUAAAAGAUCAGGCCAUUAGUUUCAGUAAUUAGCUAAAAAAAAUUAUCAUUUCACUAAUAUUUCAUGAAUAAAAACUAAUGCUCCCCCCCCCCCCCCAAGUUGUUUUGGUGUUGUGGAAAUGUUUCGAGAUUAAACCUGGCAUGCUCUGGUAUAACCAAAGGCUCUUGUUAGAAUAAAAUUGUUCACUAAA